AUUUGUCUGGUUAAUUCCGAUAACGAACGAGACCUUAACCUGCUAACUAGAUUCUAUCAUCUUAUGAUUGUUAUCUUCUUAGAGGGACUAUGUAAAACAAAUACAUGGAAGUUUGAGGCAAUAACAGGUCAGUGAUGCCCUUAUAUGUCCUGGGCUGCACGCGUGCUACACUGAUGCAUACAACAAGUGCCUAACCAGACAUGGUAUGGCAAUCUCGAAUAUGCAUCGUGAUGGGGAUAGAUCUUUGCAAUUAUAGAUCUUGAACGAGGAAUUCCUAGUAAGUGCAAGUCAUCAUCUUGCAUUGAUUAUGUCCCUGCCCUUUGUACACACCGCCCGUCGCUCCUACCGAUACCGGGUGAUCCGGUGAACCUUUUGGACUCAUUUGGGAAAGAUAAGUAAACCAUAUCACCUAGAGGAAGGAGAAGUCGUAACAAGGUUUCCGUAGGUGAACCUGCRGAAGGAUCA
Molecule: ribosomal RNA, 465 nt
Filed under: uncultured ciliate
Lineage: Eukaryota; Ciliophora
Description: SSU rRNA
Rfam family: Eukaryotic small subunit ribosomal RNA
Source: RNAcentral